CCUACGGGUGGCUGCAGUGAGGAAUAUUGGUCAAUGGACGAGAGUCUGAACCAGCCAAGUAGCGUGAAGGAUGACUGCCCUAUGGGUUGUAAACUUCUUUUAUAUGGGAAUAAACUGUUCCACGUGUGGGCUUUUGUAUGUACCAUAUGAAUAAGGAUCGGCUAACUCCGUGCCAGCAGCCGCGGUAAUACGGAGGAUCCGAGCGUUAUCCGGAUUUAUUGGGUUUAAAGGGAGCGUAGGUGGAUUGUUAAGUCAGUUGUGAAAGUUUGCGGCUCAACCGUAAAAUUGCAGUUGAAACUGGUAGUCUUGAGUACAGUAGAGGUGGGCGGAAUGCGUGGUGUAGCGGUGAAAUGCUUAGAUAUCACGAAGAACUCCGAUUGCGAAGGCAGCUCACUGGACUGUAACUGACACUGAGGCUCGAAAGUGUGGGUAUCAAACAGGAUUAGAUACCCUAGUAGUC
This 460-nucleotide ribosomal RNA is filed under the name uncultured bacterium. RNAcentral's name for it is "partial 16S ribosomal RNA". It matches the Rfam family "Bacterial small subunit ribosomal RNA", at positions 338 to 795 of the family's 1533-position model. The record is from RNAcentral.